UACGGAGGGUGCAAGCAUUAAUCGGAUUUAUUGGGCGUAAAGGGCGCGUAGGCGGGGAUGUAAGUCAGAUGUGAAAUCCCGGGGCUCAACCUCGGAACAGCAUUUGAAACUACAUUUCUUGAGGGUAGAAGGAGAAAACGGAAUUCCACAUGUAGCGGUGAAAUGCGUAGAUAUGUGGAAGAACACCUGUGGCGAAGGCGGUUUUCUAUUUUAUUCCUGACGCUAAAGCGCGAAAGCAAGGGGAUCAAACAGG
RNAcentral lists this ribosomal RNA (253 nucleotides) under uncultured bacterium. Its description in RNAcentral is "partial 16S ribosomal RNA". It matches the Rfam family "Bacterial small subunit ribosomal RNA", at positions 524 to 776 of the family's 1533-position model. The record is from RNAcentral.